GGGGUGCAGCAGGCGCGAAACCUUUGCAAUGCGUGAAAGCGCGACAAGGCGAGUCGGAGUGCAGUUGUUAAAACAACUGCUUUUGCUCACUGAAAACGGGUGGGUGAAUAAGGACUGGGUAACACGAGUGCCAGCCGCCGCGGUAAUACUCGGAGUCCAAGUGAUUGCCACUAUUAUUGGGUCUAAAGCGUCCGUAGCCGGCCCUGUAAGUCCCUGGUGAAAUCUGGCAGCAAACUGUCAGGCGUGCUGGGGUUACUGCGGGGCUCGAGACCGGGAGAGGACACAGAUACUCGUGGGGUAGGGGUUAAAUCCUAUAAUCCUACGGGGAUCACCUGUGGCGAAGGCGUGUGUCUGGAACGGGUCUGACGGUGAGGGACGAAAGCUAGGGGAGCGAUCGGGAUUAGAUACCCCGGUAGUCCUAGCCGUAAACGAUGCCCGCUUGGUGUUGCAGUCCUCUUGGGGGAUUGCAGUGCCGGAGCGUAGGUGUUAAGCGGGCCACCUGGGGAGUAUACUCGCAAGGGUGAAACUUAAGGGAAUUGGC
This 541-nucleotide ribosomal RNA is filed under the name uncultured archaeon. RNAcentral describes it as "bacterial SSU rRNA". It matches the Rfam family "Archaeal small subunit ribosomal RNA", at positions 327 to 869 of the family's 1478-position model. The record is from RNAcentral.